UUGAACGCUGGCGGCAGGCCUAACACAUGCAAGUCGAACGGUAACAGGAAGCAGCUUGCUGCUUUGCUGACGAGUGGCGGACGGGUGAGUAAUGUCUGGGAAACUGCCUGAUGGAGGGGGAUAACUACUGGAAACGGUAGCUAAUACCGCAUAACGUCGCAAGACCAAAGAGGGGGACCUUCGGGCCUCUUGCCAUCGGAUGUGCCCAGAUGGGAUUAGCUAGUAGGUGGGGUAACGGCUCACCUAGGCGACGAUCCCUAGCUGGUCUGAGAGGAUGACCAGCCACACUGGAACUGAGACACGGUCCAGACUCCUACGGGAGGCAGCAGUGGGGAAUAUUGCACAAUGGGCGCAAGCCUGAUGCAGCCAUGCCGCGUGUAUGAAGAAGGCCUUCGGGUUGUAAAGUACUUUCAGCGGGGAGGAAGGGAGUAAAGUUAAUACCUUUGCUCAUUGACGUUACCCGCAGUAGAAGCACCGGCUAACUCCGUG
This 489-nucleotide ribosomal RNA is filed under the name uncultured bacterium. RNAcentral describes it as "partial 16S ribosomal RNA". It matches the Rfam family "Bacterial small subunit ribosomal RNA", at positions 30 to 507 of the family's 1533-position model. The record is from RNAcentral.